RNAcentral lists this transfer RNA (70 nucleotides) under Pheropsophus jessoensis. RNAcentral's name for it is "tRNA-Leu". The record is from RNAcentral. Lineage: Eukaryota; Metazoa; Arthropoda; Insecta; Coleoptera; Carabidae.
CAUAUUCUAAUAUGGCAGAUUAGUGCAAUGAAUUUAAGCUUCAUAUAUAAAGUUUUACUUUUGUUAGAAA